This 1063-nucleotide long non-coding RNA is filed under the name Junco hyemalis (dark-eyed junco). RNAcentral's name for it is "lncRNA (ENSJHYG00000002771.1)". Lineage: Eukaryota; Metazoa; Chordata; Aves; Passeriformes; Passerellidae. The record is from RNAcentral.
GCCUUUUCAUUCGCCUUAAUUCACUGCGUUUCCUUUCUUGCUCCUUGCGAGGAACAGAGGGAGAGCUUGUUCCAGCAGACGGGCCCCAUCCGCCCCACCCGGCUCCGCUGGAGCGAGGGCUGGAAAAGCGGCAUGCGGGCGAAGGGGGGAAUCUCCCACCCCUGCGGGGCCUCCGCGCCGCUUCCCAGCAAAUACGAUUUAUUGAUACCUCAGAGCCUGAGAGUCUCCCAUGCCUUUGCAUCUUUGUGCUAACAUUACCCAGGAGUGGGCAGGAUCUGUGAUGAGCCUUUGAGUUCAAGUGGGGAAGAGCUCUCAAUGUUAAUUUGUAGAAAUGAAAAGAAGACUUUGGUUAACAGAGAUUUCAGCCUGAGGAACCUGUGCUGCAGGAGAAGGAUGGCACCAGUGUUUCUAAAAAUCCAUUGCUGAACAUGCAGUACCACACAUCAAAAAUGCAAUCACUCAGCUGGGGACCUCAGGAUGGUGGCUGUGGAUUAAUUCAGUGCUGGAAGGAAAAUUGAUGGUUGCCCUGGGACCAGUGUUUGCUGGCCAGUGACAUUCAAAGAAAGGACAGCCCCAUCUGGUCAUGGGGAGAGCAGUGACAGUGCAAAAGGAUGAAGUGAUCACAGUGGACAAAGAGCAGGUCAUGAACUCACCCCAAAGGAGGGGCAGAAGGGUUUUGUUGGGGGCUGAGUCCAUAGGAGACAGAGCCAAACUUCUCGUCCGGUGACCGAGUGUUCCCCUCCGGAAGGGGCUGCAGCGGGGAGCCGCGGUCCGGCCAGGGUGACAUUUGCAGCGAGCCCAGGGUGACAUUUGCAGCGACCGGAGGUCACCCGGCGGAAGAAAACAAACGCAGCAAAAGCAGCAAAAGCAGCGCUGGGCGGCCACGGAGCGGCCCCGCAGAGAGGGGAGAGCACCAGAGGGGCGCUGAGGACCUGCAUUUGCCUCACACCAUAUUCCUUCUACUUUCCAUAAAACAUGUUUUUAAUCAUUGGCAAAACUUUUCUAUUUUUUUUCUUCUCUUCUCUUCUCUUCUCUUCUCUUCUCUUCUCUUCUCUUCUCUUCU